GGAGGGAUGGCCGAGUGGUUGAAGGCGCACGCUUGGAAAGCGUGUUUACUUAAUUGUAACGAGGGUUCGAAUCCCUCUCCCUCUU
This 85-nucleotide transfer RNA is filed under the name Fibrobacter sp. RNAcentral's name for it is "tRNA-Ser". It matches the Rfam family "tRNA". Rfam says of the family: Transfer RNA (tRNA) molecules are approximately 80 nucleotides in length. Lineage: Bacteria; Pseudomonadati; Fibrobacterota; Fibrobacteria; Fibrobacterales; Fibrobacteraceae. RNAcentral also lists the same sequence under 2 other names. The record is from RNAcentral.